Non-coding RNA from Pelobates cultripes (western spadefoot toad), 841 nucleotides. The record is from the annotation of a GenBank genome assembly. Lineage: Eukaryota; Metazoa; Chordata; Amphibia; Anura; Pelobatidae.
AUGUCCUCAUACCAGAUUAUUACCAUACUCAAGGCGUUUCAGGUUCCCGGGAAAUUUUAAAAUCUACAGAUAUCCCAUCACCAUCCAAGUAUUUCAAUCACUUAUCAGACAUAGUAAAUGCCUGUCAUUACGAACCGGUCAUCAAAUCUUCAAUGUAAGGAGUAACUGCUUGAUCCAAGGAUAAAUCUGACUGCCAUUCUGGGGUCAAGAAGGAAUUUUUCCCUAGCUUGUUGCAAAUUGGAAGUGCUUCAAACUGGGUUUUUCGCCUUCUUUUGGAUCAACCGUUUAAACACAUAUGUGAGGAAGGCUGAACUUGGUGGACACUAGUCUCUUUUCGGCUAUGUAUAUAUGUAAUCUAGUUUGUUGAGCCACUAUACCUGCUUUCACAGUCUAUUUGGUCCCACAUAUUUCCCGCAGCCACCACAUCCAUCUUGCAGCAUUGUCUCAGGAAGUCUCACCUAUUCACGUAGUCUAUUGUUUACCUUCUCUACACCACUCUUAGUCUACCCUAGAUGGCCAACACGUUUUUUUAUAUACCUUACUUCCCCUUGCACAAUCAAGAGUGCCGGUUAACGUGUCGGGCACCUAUUUUCUCACUCGGCAUUCACCAUACAGCUAGGCAAUUAGGUCUUUUUGCUGAUUGUUUUAUGUUUCUGGUAGGUAUCUCUUUUUGCCCUCUUUUAUUACAGGCCUACCUCUACGUCGGUUCUGGCACACCUCAACCGACUUACUUCCCCCUUUACUUUUCUAUACAGCCUUUUUGCCCCUCACACAAAUGUAAAGGCUUGGCCUGCAGUUGUGGGAGGGGCAUGUUACCCUACUUAAACCCCCUACUCACCUU